Xyrichtys novacula (pearly razorfish) is the source of this 1117-nucleotide non-coding RNA. NCBI's taxonomy places the organism in Eukaryota, Metazoa, Chordata, Actinopteri, Labriformes, Labridae. The record is from the annotation of a GenBank genome assembly.
UAUUUGAAAUGAAAAGAAAAAACAGAUUCAAAUAAUUUAAAAUCAAUUAGACAAAGAGGUUAAUUUCUGCGACUGUUCGGUAUUUGACCUAAUUUAUCAAAACCGUAAUUUACUAGAAAAACGCUUUAGCACUUUUGCCUCCUUCUACCCGCAAUGACUGCAGCCAUUUGUACGUAACUCUGUGCCAGUUUACACGUGCCUUUCAAACGUGCUAAAUAUAGGCGCUAAACAGCAACCAAAAUCGAUUUUCGGGUUUGAUAAAUGACAUUGCGGGUGUUUAACAAUUGCAUUUACAUCUACUCCUCCGGGAAUUUUGCAUGGUCUGAUGAUCUAUAUACAAUCUGCAUAUUCACGAAGGAAAACACGCUAAAUUGUUUGCACACACUGUUUUGCUCAUUUGACAGACGCAAUCCUCGGUGCACCCGGUUAGUAGAUCAGCUUUCAGAGGGAUAGCAAACAAGAUUCUCUUAUCUCCUUUAACCUACUCAUGCUGACUGCGAGGAUGGACUCCACUAAAGACAAAACAGGUAAUAAAUUUUCCAGCUAGAAGAAAACAGCGGUUUGUUUUCAUAUUUGUAGUUCAAUCACAACUGUGUAUUCAAGUUCCUCUUACUGUCACUGCAGCUCAACCUGAUGAUAAGACAGAAAAGACGGUCCAGCGGAAGACCUGCUCCUGUGGACUACACUGAGAUUAGAUGUCAGCGAAGACUCCCACAUCAGAGGAAAGGCCACGCCCCCCAACUGUGGCGACCUGCAAGAUUUUCCCAACCAUCACCUCAUGAGUCGUUGACAUUUAGGUUCUUGGACUGUGAAGUCUUUGCAGUGCAGUGACCAGUGAAACAUGGAUGCCCGCCCAAGUCAACAAACAGUGGUUCAACCAUCACAGGGUAAAGUUAUUCAAGCCUCUCUCCUUCUUGUUGUGGACCCUUGUGUUUUAGUGCUUUCUAUUAGGAAUGUGACAAAAGUAGGUCAGAAAAUACCCACUUCACCAAUUUUAUAUUAUGUUUUUACUCUUUUAAAAUUCUCUCAGUCAAGAAAUGAAAGGAGAAGAGGGCCAGGACGUCUACUUAUUCACUGUAAUAAGUGAUUUCUUAAAGCAAGUCUUAGUCAACAGAUU